GUUCUGGUACGGUCGUACCAGAAACGGGCGCGGGACGGCGGAGACUGCCACCCGGCGCGCCACGU
RNAcentral lists this non-coding RNA (65 nucleotides) under unclassified sequences. The record is from RNAcentral.